CUUGACCGAACCCAGCAGCAGCGGAGCAGUCCGCUCCUGCCCGUAGGUGGCCAGCAGCGCCUGGGCCUC
RNAcentral lists this antisense RNA (69 nucleotides) under Saccharopolyspora erythraea NRRL 2338. RNAcentral describes it as "ASpks TB sRNA". It matches the Rfam family "ASpks TB sRNA". Lineage: Bacteria; Bacillati; Actinomycetota; Actinomycetes; Pseudonocardiales; Pseudonocardiaceae. The record is from Rfam by way of RNAcentral.